This 403-nucleotide ribosomal RNA is filed under the name Verrucomicrobiota bacterium. Its description in RNAcentral is "Verrucomicrobia bacterium partial 16S ribosomal RNA". It matches the Rfam family "Bacterial small subunit ribosomal RNA", at positions 355 to 776 of the family's 1533-position model. The record is from RNAcentral. Lineage: Bacteria; Pseudomonadati; Verrucomicrobiota.
UUGGGAAUAUUGCACAAUGGAGGGAACUCUGAUGCAGCGACGCCGCGUGAACGAAGAAGGCUUUCGAGUCGUAAAGUUCUUUUAUAUGGGAAGAUAAUGACGGUACCAUAAGAAAAAGCCCCGGCUAACUACGUGCCAGCAGCCGCGGUAAUACGUAUGGGGCGAGCGUUGGCCGGAAUUAUUGGGCGUAAAGGGUACGUAGGCGGUCUAUUAAGUCAGGUGUGAAAGCGUGAGGCUUAACCUCAUUAAGCACUUGAAACUGAUAGACUUGAGUGAAGGAGAGGAAAGUGGAAUUCCUAGUGUAGCGGUGAAAUGCGUAGAUAUUAGGAGGAGUACCGGUGGCGAAGGCGACUUUCUGGACUUUUACUGACGCUCAGGUACGAAAGCGUGGGGAGCAAACAGG